RNAcentral lists this ribosomal RNA (468 nucleotides) under uncultured bacterium. Its description in RNAcentral is "partial 16S ribosomal RNA". It matches the Rfam family "Bacterial small subunit ribosomal RNA", at positions 28 to 507 of the family's 1533-position model. The record is from RNAcentral.
GACGAACGCUGGCGGCGUGCUUAACACAUGCAAGUCGAACGGAAGGGCCCUGCUUUUGUGGGGUGCUCGAGUGGCGAACGGGUGAGUAACACGUGAGUAACCUGCCCUUGACUGUGGGAUAACUUCAGGAAACUGGGGCUAAUACCGGAUAGGAGCUCCUGCUGCAUGGUGGGGGUUGGAAAGUUUCGGCGGUUGGGGAUGGACUCGCGGCUUAUCAGCUUGUUGGUGGGGUAGUGGCUUACCAAGGCUUUGACGGGUAGCCGGCCUGAGAGGGUGACCGGCCACAUUGGGCCUGAGAUACGGCCCAGACUCCUACGGGAGGCAGCAGUGGGGAAUAUUGCACAAUGGGCGGAAGCCUGAUGCAGCAACGCCGCGUGCGGGAUGACGGCCUUCGGGUUGUAAACCGCUUUCGCCUGUGACGAAGCGUGAGUGACGGUAAUGGGUAAAGAAGCACCGGCUAACUACGUG